Molecule: ribosomal RNA, 352 nt
Filed under: uncultured bacterium
Lineage: Bacteria
Description: bacterial SSU rRNA
Rfam family: Bacterial small subunit ribosomal RNA
Source: RNAcentral
GGAAGGUCCGGGCGUUAUCCGGAUUUAUUGGGUUUAAAGGGAGCGUAGGCGGGUGCUUAAGUCAGUUGUGAAAGUUUGCGGCUCAACCGUAAAAUUGCAGUUGAUACUGGGCGCCUUGGGUGCAGCAUAGGUAGGCGGAAUUCGUGGUGUAGCGGUGAAAUGCUUAGAUAUCACGAAGAACUCCGAUUGCGAAGGCAGCUCACUGGAGCGCAACUGACGCUGAAGCUCGAAAGUGCGGGUAUCGAACAGGAUUAGAUACCCUGGUAGUCCGCACGGUAAACGAUGGAUGCCCGCUGUUGGUCUGAAUAGGUCAGCGGCCAAGCGAAAGCAUUAAGCAUCCCACCUGGGGAGU